GUGUCUCUAUUUUAUCUGGGGGAGAGAAACAUGCCUGUGUCUGCACUACACUGUGUCUGCCACUGACUGAGUGGUCUAUAAUAGAGGUCGACCGAUUAUGAUUUUUCAAUGACGAUACCGAUUAUUGGAGGACCAAAAAAAGCCGAUACCGAUUAAUCGGCCAAUUUUUAAAUACUGAAUGAACACUUUCAUUUGAACUUAUUAUAAUACAUCAAUAAAAUCAAUUUAGCCUCAAAUAAUGAAACAUGUUCAAUUUGGUUUAAAUAAUGCAAAAACAAAGUGUUGGAGAAGUAAAAGUGCAAUAUUUGCUAUGUAAAAAAGCUAACGUUUAAGUUCCUUGCUCAGAACAUGAGACCAUAUGAAAGCUGAUGGUUCCUUUUAACAUGAGUCUUCAAUAUUCCCAGGUAAGAAGUUUUAGGUUGAGGUUAUUAUAGGAAUUAUAGGACUAUUUCUCUCUAUACCAUUUGUAUUUCAUAUACCUUUGACUAUUGGAUGUUCUUAUAGGCACUUUAGUAUUGCCAGUGUAACAGUAUAGCUUCCGUCCCUCUCCUCGCUCCUACCUGGGCUCGAACCAGGAACACAUCGACAACAGCCACCCUCGAAGCAGCGUUAUCCAUGCAGAGCAAGGGGAACUACUCCUAGUCUCAGAGCGAGUGACGUUUGAAACGCUAUUAGCGUGCACCCCGCUAACUAGCUAGCCAUUUCACAUCGGUUACACCAGCCUAAUCUCGGGAGUUGAUAGGCUUGAAGUCAUAAACAGCGCAAUGCUUGAAGAGCUGCUGGCAAACGCACGAAAGUGCUGUUUGAAUGAAUGCUUAUGAACCUGCUGGUGUCUACCACUGCUCAGUCAGACUGCUCUAUCAAAUCAUAGACUUAAUUAUAACAUAAUAACACACAGAAAUACGAGCCUUAGGUCAUUAAUAUGGUCAAAUCCGGGAACUAUAAUUUCGAAAAUAAAACAUUUAUUCUUUCAGUGAAAUACGGAACCAUUCCGUAUUUUAUCUAACGGGUGGCAUCCAUCAGGCUAAAUAUUCCUGUUACAUUGCACAACCUUCAAUGUUAUGUUAUAAUUACCUCAAAUUCUGGCAAAUUAGUUCGCAACGAGCCAGGCGGCCCAAACUGUUGCAUGUACCCUGACUCUGUGUGCAAUGAACGCAAGAGGUGACACAAUUUCCCUAGUUUAAUAUUGCCUGCUAACAUGAAUUUCUUUUAACUAAAUAUGCAGGUUUAAAAAUAUAUACUUCUGUGUAUUGAUUUUAAGAAAGGCAUUGAUGUUUUAUGGUUAGGUACAUUCGUGCAACAUAUGUGCUUUUUUCACAAAUGCGCUUUUGUUAAAUCAUCCCCCGUUGGGCGAAGUUGGCUGUCUUUGUUAGGAAGAAAUGGUCUUCACACAGUUCUCAACGAGCCAGGCGGCCCAAACUGCUGCAUAUACCCUGACUCUGUUGCACAGAAUGCAAGAGAAGUGACACAAAUUCUCUAGUUAAUUUGUUUUAUAUUAACAGGCAAUAUUAACUAAAUAUGCAGGUUUAAAAAUAUAUACUUGUGUAUUGAUUUUAAGAAAGGUGUUGAUGUUUAUGGUUAGGUACACAUUGAUGUUUAUGGUUAGGUACACAUUGAUGUUUAUGGUUAGGUACACAUUGAUGUUUAUGGUUAGGUACACAUUGAUGUUUAUGGUUAGGUACACAUUGAUGUUUAUGGUUAGGUACACCAUUGAUGUUUAUGGUUAGGUACACCAUUGAUGUUUAUGGUUAGGUACACAUUGAUGUUUAUGGUUAGGUACACAUUGAUGUUUAUGGUUAGGUACACCAUUGAUGUUUAUGGUUAGGUACACCAUUGAUGUUUAUGGUUAGGUACACAUUGAUGUUUAUGGUUAGGUACACAUUGAUGUUUAUGGUUAGGUACACAUUGAUG
Molecule: long non-coding RNA, 1911 nt
Organism: Oncorhynchus nerka (sockeye salmon)
Lineage: Eukaryota; Metazoa; Chordata; Actinopteri; Salmoniformes; Salmonidae
Exons: 4
Source: RefSeq, a predicted model, not a curated record